CUACGGGGCGCAGCAGUGAGGAGUUUUGCGCAAUGGGGGAAACCCUGACGCAGCAACGCCGCGUGAGCGAAGAAGGCCUUCGGGUCGUAAAGCUCUGUCAAGUGGGAAAAACGUUUUCCGGUGAAUAGCCGGGAGAUCUGAUGGUACCAUUGAAGGAAGCACCGGCUAACUCCGUGCCAGCAGCCGCGGUAAUACGGAGGGUGCAAGCGUUGUUCGGAAUUAUUGGGCGUAAAGAGCGUGUAGGCGGUUUAGUAAGUCAGAUGUGAAAGCCCCGGGCUCAACCUGGGAAGUGCAUUUGAAACUGCUUUACUGGAGUAUGGGAGAGGAGAGUGGAAUUCCUGGUGUAGAGGUGAAAUUCGUAGAUAUCAGGAGGAACAUCUGUGGCGAAGGCGACUCUCUGGACCAAUACUGACGCUGAGACGCGAAAGCGUGGGUAGCAAACAGGAUUAGAUACCCCUGUAGUC
Molecule: ribosomal RNA, 464 nt
Filed under: uncultured bacterium
Lineage: Bacteria
Description: partial 16S ribosomal RNA
Rfam family: Bacterial small subunit ribosomal RNA
Source: RNAcentral